GAAUUAAAGGCUUUAAACUUUCUCACUGAUUUUCACUUUCUCUUCUCCGAUUCUGAGUUUCUUUACUGUUCGAGGUUAAGCUUGGAUUUCUAAAUGGAUAGACAAGGUUCUUGUUUGGUUUGCUAGUCCUUAGAAGGUCAGUGUACACUGACCCUCCCUUUCUCUCAAUUGUUUGUAUUAUUUUGUGCUUAUCAUGUCUUUUUCUGUUGAUUAUCUUUUGUUUAUUAGUUCGUGGUCAAUUAUCAUGUCUUGCUCUCAUGUGUUAGCCUUAUUAUUUGAGCCAAUUGUUUUCUGAUAAUCUAUGACUUUUCCAAGGUUAGGUGGUUAUUCUGCGCUAAGCAACUUAAUAAACUUUGCCGGAUAAAUGCUUCCUAAAAGUAAAAUACCUAAGUUCCACUGAACUUCUGCAAUUAGCUAAGAGAUUGUGAUAAUUCUACGUGAGUUUAUCAGCAGUACUAUUAUGUUUGUUAGCCUAAUUCAUGUUGUGUCCUCAAAGUUUCCUUGACAUCUUGUUGAGAGUCAUACCUGCUAUAUCUAUGCUUGGAUUAGUAAUGUUGUACCACUUUUAAUUCAACUGAAUGACCCUCAUUAUAGUAUCCAUGCCAUACACCUAACUUACCUGUUUAACUGAUCUGAUAUUGAAACCAUGUCUACCCUGUGCAUGUAAAACUCACAUAUUCUUGUGAUUUGAACUUCUGUAAUGAAUUCACUAACUUGUUUAUUAGACAAUUUUCUCAUUUGAUAUGAUUUGUAACCUUGCAGCCAUUUAGAAAUAUCAUUGUGCAUAUGUUUGAGUAUCUUCGGUUAGCUUUUAUACUUUUGUUUGCUCAUGAACUUCCUGUUUGCUUUUCCCAUUCAAGUAAGACUCAUGCUUAAGCUAUUACACUCUUCACUUAAAACUGUGCUAUCCUAUAGAAGAAGGAGUUGAACUACCUAUUUUAAUAUCUUAACAACAUAUAAUCUGGAAUGUAAGACAAUUGUUGUCAUUUGUGGACCUAAGGAAACUCAUUGAUCUUUGUUUGUCUUGUUUAAAGGAAUGUAGUACUAUACUUAGUUGAUAUCCUUGGCUGUGAAAGCUUAACUGUAACUUUGGACAUUGGUUGAGACAUGAUAGGUUAGAGACCAUGCUAUUAAGUUUAAAUUAGAUCAAAAUUGAUUCUGUAGGGAUACUUCUACUGUUUGUUACCACUUCAAGGGAGUCUGAGCAAGAAUGUUAAUAUAAGUACUCGAUGUAGGGAGAAUUCAACCAUGUGUGUGGGAACUUUGGAUUGUUAUGAAUACAAUCUAAAUAGUUGUUAAAGUGUUGUGAACUUAAUUAAGGAUUCCUAUAAGUUUGGACCUACCAAUACAACCAAUGAAGUUAGUAUGCAUGUCUUCCUACACCCCCAGGAUCACUUAAACUCAGCAUCUUUAAACUUGGAAUAGUCUACUGUUGGUUACUCUGAAAAUAUCCUUGUUCUGCACCUGUGAUUAAUUUCUUUAAAUAUUUUAAUUCAUGUUAUAAAUGAAUGCUGAGUAUCUCUGGACAUUGUUAGUAUCUGCUGUAAUUGACCUUCACCUUCUAGGUUCUAAUUAUAAAGUUAAUGGUGUAAUUCCUAAGGUGUUCAUGGUUGUGCACCAUGAUAGUGCUCUCCAUAGCUUCUGAACUUUGUGUACUUGAAACUUUUGUACCUGCUGUUGUUCUCAUGUUAAUUAUUAAGUGAAUACAUUAUUUUUAACUAAACCUUUGAGGAAGAGUGAGUGUGAGUGAUUAAGGGUAUUUGGGUUGGUACCUAGUUUGUGGCUAAGAUGCCAUUCUCUGACAUAGGCACUGCUCGGAGUCCCUAAGACCCUUGUGAACUCUAAAGUGCCAGGGAUUCCAAGGGUACCUUGUCCAUGAAUGAGGCCUUAUCCUAAUCUCUUGGUCAUUAAAUCUUAUUAAUCCUCCUAGGAUUAAUACAAAUAGAAAUUGGCAUUAAUUGUAAUUAGUGUCUGUUACAGUCUUGUCUUGUUGGGCCUUGUGAUUUUUUUUUUGUUACAAUCUUAGUCAUAUUUAUAUGUUUUAAUUUUAUUCUGUUGGGGCCUCAUGUGGAUUUCACUAAUUGUUUUCAUCUCUUUUGUAUGCAUGAACUCGACUUGGGCCCAUCGAGCCCAUCUGGAGCUAAAUCCCACCAUCCGAUUAUGAGUGGUCGCAUUUCCUGUUUAGUCCACUAUUCAUGCACAUUAUGUUGGGCCUGAACAUUUGCUGGCCCAAUUCAACGAUUUCGAGUCAUUCGGAGGUUAAUUCACGCAAGAUGGCAUUUCUAGAGUAUUGUUUGGCUUGCUCGAUAUUUGAUUUGGCUUGUUUGUGAUCUUGGAGCUGAUAUUACUGCACAUGAAGGAAGCUGGCAUUGAAGAUGUUCCCAUUGUCCGGAUAUUGCUACCACUUUUUCUUGGUAGUUUUAGAUUUGAGUUCUGUUUAUGUAUAUUUCAAGCUGAUGUUGUAAUUAUGUUUCAUACCAGCUUUGUAAAUCUAAAGUCUUAGUAGCUCAUUGCUUGUAUUGCCAA
Long non-coding RNA from Nicotiana tabacum (common tobacco), 2526 nucleotides. RefSeq lists it as uncharacterized. The record is from RefSeq and is a predicted model, not a curated record. Lineage: Eukaryota; Viridiplantae; Streptophyta; Magnoliopsida; Solanales; Solanaceae.